Molecule: long non-coding RNA, 1428 nt
Filed under: Homo sapiens (human)
Lineage: Eukaryota; Metazoa; Chordata; Mammalia; Primates; Hominidae
Description: HSALNT0299244
Source: RNAcentral
UUUUCAACUGCACAAUUAAGGCAGCUACAUUUGCCGAUACCAAACAUAUACACGUAUAUGCACAUUGAGUUGAGAAAGAGGUGCCACCUAUAUCAUGUGUCAUGUGACAACAGAAAACUAUAUCUUGCCACUUUGGGGACACUGGGUUGCAACUCAGCUGUUUGAGAGAAAUUAAAUAAUACAGUGUGUCCUUUGAGGCCAAAAUGACUAGAAGAUCAUUUGAGACUAGGCUACAAUAUUCCUGCUCAAGAGCUGAGUUCGUUUCUUCCUUCAUGAAGGAAGUUAAUGAGAGAUGAGUUUGAAAAAGGUUGUCUCGUGGCAAAGUUUGGCUCAUUGCCAAAGUAAAGUAAACAGGUCUUACCAAAACUUCUGAAGACUGAUGAUAAUGAACUGGUGUUUCAUUCUCAGAUUUUAAUUUUGUUAAAAUAGCUGUAAAAGUCCUUGGAAUCCAGUUCCAAGGGUAAAUAAAAAAGACUGUCUUUUCUGAGACUUUUAGUAAAAAUUAAGCUAUAAUUUUCAUAGUGGUUGAUAUAAUCUAAAUACAAAUGAGUAAUUAGGUAACUUCAUUAUGUAGUUUCUAUACACAAUUUUCUGCACAGUAGUAGUUUAUUACAACCAAGUAAAAGCCACUUACCUGUGCUCCUACGUGGAUAUGAAUUAGACAUGCUAUUUUAUUUUCUACAACGGUCUGGAGAACAGGGUUAGGAGGUAAAAGGUCUCACAGCCUGAGGUGGAGACUAGAAGAACAGCUGUUUCCACCACCCUUUCCACCAUGUGCAUUUUUAGACCCAAGCAUUGUUUGUUCUCUGUUCCCUGCUGCAGGCAUUUCAAAGCCAGCUUCAGCCCCGCCUCACGGAUACAUGUGCUCAGUGGUGCUGCUCACUGCUUUAUGUUUAACUGGUAGUCUCUGCCACUGUGUUCUCCUGAACUUUAAAUUUCCUCAGUUAUUACAACCAAUUAUUCGGUAUAUACUUUGUGUUGGACAAUCUUUCUCUUGUGAACAUCUAUGAGUUUCGAAAACAAAAAUCAUCAGAGCUGAAUCUGAGAAAUAGAACUGUUUUCGUCACAAACAAGUUACAGUUACGAGGUACUGAAAAAAAAUGUGUGAUUCUGCAAGUAAUUCCAAAAGAGGAAUUUUUUUAAGAUUUUGAGCAAUGCAUAGUAUCACUGGAGUAGGGUAGAUUAGGUACUUGGGAGAAACGAAGGAAGAAAGCAAGCAAGCGUCACAGGACGGACGGACAGGUACCAUGUCUUACUGUUUCUUUUCUUGAUUUUUUGUUUGUUUGUUUGUUUGUUUGUUUCAGACAGAGUCUUGCUCUGUUGCCCAGCCUGGAGUGCAGUGGCGUGAUCUUGGCUCACUGCAACCUCCACCUCCCGGGUUCAAGAGAUUCUCCUGCCUCAGCCUCCCAAGUAGCUGGGAUUACAGGU